GAUGAACGCUAGCUACAGGCUUAACACAUGCAAGUCGAGGGGCAGCAUGGUCUUAGCUUGCUAAGGCCGAUGGCGACCGGCGCACGGGUGAGUAACACGUAUCCAACCUGCCGUCUACUCUUGGACAGCCUUCUGAAAGGAAGAUUAAUACAAGAUGGCAUCAUGAGUCCACAUGUUCACAUGAUUAAAGGUAUUCCGGUAGACGAUGGGGAUGCGUUCCAUUAGAUAGUAGGCGGGGUAACGGCCCACCUAGUCUUCGAUGGAUAGGGGUUCUGAGAGGAAGGUCCCCCACAUUGGAACUGAGACACGGUCCAAACUCCUACGGGAGGCAGCAGUGAGGAAUAUUGGUCAAUGGGCGAGAGCCUGAACCAGCCAAGUAGCGUGAAGGAUGACUGCCCUAUGGGUUGUAAACUUCUUUUAUAAAGGAAUAAAGUCGGGUAUGGAUACCCGUUUGCAUGUACUUUAUGAAUAAGGAUCGGCUAACUCCGUGCCAGCAGCCGCGGUAAUACGGAGGAUCCGAGCGUUAUCCGGAUUUAUUGGGUUUAAAGGGAGCGUAGAUGGAUGUUUAAGUCAGUUGUGAAAGUCUGCGGCUCAACCGUAAAAUUGCAGUUGAUACUGGAUAUCUUGAGUGCAGUUGAGGCAGGCGGAAUUCGUGGUGUAGCGGUGAAAUGCUUAGAUAUCACGAAGAACUCCGAUUGCGAAGGCAGCCUGCUAAGCUGCAACUGACAUUGAGGCUCGAAAGUGUGGGUAUCAAACAGGAUUAGAUACCCUGGUAGUCCACACGGUAAACGAUGAAUACUCGCUGUUUGCGAUAUACAGCAAGCGGCCAAGCGAAAGCGUUAAGUAUUCCACCUGGGGAGUACGCCGGCAACGGUGAAACUCAAAGGAAUUGACGGGGGCCCGCACAAGCGGAGGAACAUGUGGUUUAAUUCGAUGAUACGCGAGGAACCUUACCCGGGCUUAAAUUGCAGAUGAAUUACGGUGAAAGCCGUAAGCCGCAAGGCAUCUGUGAAGGUGCUGCAUGGUUGUCGUCAGCUCGUGCCGUGAGGUGUCGGCUUAAGUGCCAUAACGAGCGCAACCCUUGUUGUCAGUUACUAACAGGUUCCGCUGAGGACUCUGACAAGACUGCCAUCGUAAGAUGUGAGGAAGGUGGGGAUGACGUCAAAUCAGCACGGCCCUUACGUCCGGGGCUACACACGUGUUACAAUGGGGGGUACAGAGGGCCGCUACCACGCGAGUGGAUGCCAAUCCCAAAAACCUCUCUCAGUUCGGACUGGAGUCUGCAACCCGACUCCACGAAGCUGGAUUCGCUAGUAAUCGCGCAUCAGCCACGGCGCGGUGAAUACGUUCCCGGGCCU
This 1358-nucleotide ribosomal RNA is filed under the name uncultured bacterium. RNAcentral's name for it is "bacterial SSU rRNA". It matches the Rfam family "Bacterial small subunit ribosomal RNA", at positions 28 to 1381 of the family's 1533-position model. The record is from RNAcentral.